GUGAAGAUAGGCGAUGGGGGGAGGGGGCUGCGGGGAGAGCUGCAACCACAGGCUGGUUGGAGGAGAGCCGGUCUGAGGCCAAGGCCAGGGCACAGAACCGAGCAGAGCAGAAAGGUGGAGUGAGGAGCGGUACUCAGUGACUUUAAAUGAGCUACUGAAUGCCAAGCCCAGCACUGUUCCGGCUCCAUUCCUUUGAUAUGCAUCUGCAUGUCAAUGGAUUUGUCCUGCUCAGAGUCUGUCUCCUGCUCACCCUCCUUAUUCUAAUCACCCUUGCCGAGGGUUGGGAUACCAAGCCACCCCAGCAACCAGGAAUCUGGAUUGACAACACACCAAAAACACCUGGGAUGAGACAGAGCAAUUCCCUCAAAGGACUAGAAAGUCAGAACAGGGAAAAUCUGUACAUAUCAUCUAAUUUUUUUUUUUUUAUUUAUGAUAGUCACACAGAGAGAGAGAGAGAGAGAGAGAGAGAGACAGAGACAGAGACACAGGCAGAGGGAGAAGCAGGCUCCAUGCACCGGGAGCCCGACGUGGGAUUCGAUCCCAGGUCUCCAGGAUCGCGCCCUGGGCCAAAGGCAGGCGCCAAACCACUGCGCCACCCAAGGAUCCCCAUAUCAUCUAAUUAAAUGAAACUAAUUAUGCUUCAUCUUGGUUGAUACAAUUAAUUGUUAGCGAGUUUUGCUUCAGCCAUUUUCCCUAAUGGAUAAGACUUGGGCUUGAUGGGCUCUUUCCUUUAGGUCUCUUAGCCACCUCAAGUGACAGGUUAUUGCUUCGCUGGGAUGAUGCCUGGCCUGUCGAUGGCAGGUUGUUCAUUCCCAGGAUCUGCUUAUUCACCACUCCUUGUCACGCCCACGGAUGACUGAGCUCAACUGAGCUCAUGGGUUACGUACACUCCUGAACUCCCUGCAGGAUGAUCUCCUAACAAUGCUGUCACCCAUAGGUGCGGCAUUUCGACUCAAACUGAAAUCCAAGUUUCCAUUUCCUCCAACUUUGGACCUCUCAUCUCUUUUACUGGCUUGUCUUCGGGUGGAGGAGCUCUCGUGGGAGGCACCCUCUUUUAACCGACAGAUGAUUGGAAGGACAGAUGCAGACCCCACUUGUGUUUAUCCACUUGUUCUGAGGAGCACUCACCAAAUUCCCUUUUUUAAACUGGACAUCAUUGAGAACAAGAAGAAAACAUUCCCAACCUUCCAGAAAGUGGGAACUUUUUAUUUUUUAAAUUUUUUAUUUAUUUAUGAUAGUCACACACAGGGAGAGAGAGAGAGAGGCAGAGGGAGAAGCAGGCUCCAUGCACCGGGAGCCUGACGUGGGAUUCGAUCCCAGGUCUCCAGGAUCAAGCCCUGGGCCAAAGGCAGGCGCUAAACCUCUGUGCCACCCAGGGAUCCCAGUGGGAACUUUUUAAAAUCAGUUUGGGCAAAGAGUAUCUGGGGAGAGAAACCACAAUAAAUGCCUGCGUAUAAUUAACA
Molecule: long non-coding RNA, 1463 nt
Filed under: Vulpes vulpes (red fox)
Lineage: Eukaryota; Metazoa; Chordata; Mammalia; Carnivora; Canidae
Description: lncRNA (ENSVVUG00000013188.1)
Source: RNAcentral